AGCUCGAAACAAAUGUUCUUGUGCCGACCUUCAGCCAAAUCGGAGGAUAAUUGAAACAUCUAGGGUCUUGAGAAGUAUAAAACAUGGAGCUAUCCUACGGUGUAAGAACAUUUUUAUAGAAUGGAUAAAAGACUUCUCUCGGAAGAGCUGCUGAGAGCUAUGGGGAGAGAUGGCACUGAUGUGGCCCUCGUUCAAGAACCGUGGGUGACAAGCUACUAAGGUUCGCGGACUAAGAUCACGAAAUCUGAAUCUAAUCUCCCCCCUCCCCAAAGAAGCGAUGAAGACUUAACAGUAGUGGCCUUGGAGAAUCCCCGCAAACUACAAUAUUAGUGGUACUGGGCUCCAUGUACCUACCCUAUGAUGUGGACAACCCCCCUACAGACACCGUACGGGCCCUGGUCAGUUGGUCCGAGGAGAAGGGACAUGACCUUGUGCUAGGGGGUGAUGCGAAUGCACACUACAGUCUCUGGGGAAGCACGGAUACC
This is a long non-coding RNA of Stomoxys calcitrans (stable fly), 485 nucleotides long. RefSeq lists it as uncharacterized. The transcript has 3 exons. Lineage: Eukaryota; Metazoa; Arthropoda; Insecta; Diptera; Muscidae. The record is from RefSeq and is a predicted model, not a curated record.